GAUGAACGCUGGCGGCGUGCCUAAUACAUGCAAGUCGAGCGAACAGACGAGGAGCUUGCUCCUCUGACGUUAGCGGCGGACGGGUGAGUAACACGUGGAUAACCUACCUAUAAUACUGGGAUAACUUCGGGAAACCGGAGCUAAUACCGGAUAAUAUAUUGAACCGCAUGGUUCAAUAGUGAAAGACGGUUUUGCUUUCACUUAUAGAUGGAUCCGCGCCGCAUUAGCUAGUUGGUAAGGUAACGGCUUACCAAGGCAACGAUGCGUAGCCGACCUGAGAGGGUGAUAGGCCACACUGGAACGGAGACACGGACCAUACUCCUACGGGAGGCAGCAGUAGGGAAUCUUCCGCAAUGGGCGAAAGCUUGACGGAGCAACGCCGCGUGAGUGAUGAAGGUCUUCGGAUCGUAAAACUCUGUUACUAGGGAAGAACAAAUGUGUAAGUAACUAUGCACGUCUUGACGGUACCUAAUCAGAAAGCCACGGCUAACUACGUG
Molecule: ribosomal RNA, 497 nt
Filed under: uncultured bacterium
Lineage: Bacteria
Description: partial 16S ribosomal RNA
Rfam family: Bacterial small subunit ribosomal RNA
Source: RNAcentral